Molecule: long non-coding RNA, 401 nt
Organism: Macrobrachium nipponense
Lineage: Eukaryota; Metazoa; Arthropoda; Malacostraca; Decapoda; Palaemonidae
Exons: 2
Source: RefSeq, a predicted model, not a curated record
CAUUUCUCAUACCCAGAGGGACUACCAGUAUACAAUACCCUUUCAAGAAGAGGGCUGGCGUGGAGGACACUCACAGCUUCCUGCUGCAGAGCAGCACCAACUGCAGUGCAUUAGGGAGGAGCCUAGCAGUGACCCCUUGGGAGGAGCAGAUCCCAAAUCCUGCAUAGCAGAAACCAACUGUGAUGACGAGGGGGAAAGGGCGCACGACGAAUCUUCUCAUGAUGUGUGAAGAAGGAUCGAGGCAGCUGACAGAAAACAUCUGUUUAAUCUCUUUGGCAACAGAAAGAUUUCUUUCUCAUUUUUGUACCGAAUCAUAAAUUACCAGAAUAGGUUUUAUUCAUGGAAACUUUAACUGAAGUAUGUGUGUUCGUACGUAAAAAAUAUAUAUGAUCUAUUUUAAA